GGUUCGUUGGUGUAAUGGCAGCAUCCCAGAUUCUCAAUCUGUAGGCAGGGGUUCAACUCCCCUACGAACUAC
This 72-nucleotide transfer RNA is filed under the name Mycobacterium phage Nanosmite. Its description in RNAcentral is "tRNA-Glu". It matches the Rfam family "tRNA". Rfam says of the family: Transfer RNA (tRNA) molecules are approximately 80 nucleotides in length. Their secondary structure includes four short double-helical elements and three loops (D, anti-codon, and T loops). Lineage: Duplodnaviria; Heunggongvirae; Uroviricota; Caudoviricetes; Vilmaviridae. The record is from RNAcentral.